GGGGAAAUAGUCUAAGUUGGUAAAACUGCGAUUUUGCAUAUCGUUAUUCCGGGUUCAAGUCCUGGUUUCUCCA
This 73-nucleotide transfer RNA is filed under the name Scytalidium sp. RNAcentral describes it as "tRNA-Ala". It matches the Rfam family "tRNA". From Rfam's summary of the family: Transfer RNA (tRNA) molecules are approximately 80 nucleotides in length. Their secondary structure includes four short double-helical elements and three loops (D, anti-codon, and T loops). The record is from RNAcentral. Lineage: Eukaryota; Fungi; Ascomycota; Leotiomycetes.